This 207-nucleotide ribosomal RNA is filed under the name uncultured bacterium. RNAcentral describes it as "partial 16S ribosomal RNA". It matches the Rfam family "Bacterial small subunit ribosomal RNA", at positions 568 to 774 of the family's 1533-position model. The record is from RNAcentral.
UUCGUAGGCGGUGUGGCAAGUCGGAAGUGAAAUCUCCAGGCUUAACUUGGAGGCUGCUCCCGAAACUGCCAUGCUAGAGUGCGGGAGAGGCGAGUGGAAUUACAGGUGUAGCGGUGAAAUGCGUAGAUAUCUGUAGGAACACCCGUGGCGAAGGCGGCUCGCUGGACCGCAACUGACGCUGAGGAAUGAAAGCUAGGGGAGCAAACA